Molecule: ribosomal RNA, 1403 nt
Filed under: Chromadorita tentabundum
Lineage: Eukaryota; Metazoa; Nematoda; Chromadorea; Chromadorida; Chromadoridae
Description: SSU rRNA
Rfam family: Eukaryotic small subunit ribosomal RNA
Source: RNAcentral
UGUCUCAAAGAUUAAGCCAUGCAUGUCUAAGCAUAAGCCGAAUAUGGUAAAGCCGCGAAUGGCUCAUUACAACAGCCAUAGUUUAUUGGAUCUUAGAGUCCUACUUGGAUACCUGUGGAAAAUCUAGAGCUAAUACACGCAAUCAAGCCCUAACCUUUUGGAAAGGGCGCAUUUAUUAGAACAAAACCAAUUGGCUUCGGCCAUGAAUUGGUGAAUCUGAAUAACUACGCUGAUCGCACGGUCUCGUACCGGCGACGUAUCCUUCAAGUGUCUGCCUUAUCAACUUUCGAUGGUAGUCUAUAAGCCUACCAUGGUUGUAACGGGUAACGGAGAAUAAGGGUUCGACUCCGGAGAGGGAGCCUGAGAAACGGCUACCACUUCCAAGGAAGGCAGCAGGCGCGCAAAUUACCCACUCUCAGAACGAGGAGGUAGUGACGAAAAAUAACGAGACAGUUCUCUAUGAGGUCUGUCAUCGGAAUGGGUACAAUCUAAACCCUUUAACGAGGAUCUAUUGGAGGGCAAGUCUGGUGCCAGCAGCCGCGGUAAUUCCAGCUCCAAUAGCGUAUAUUAAAGUUGUUGCGGUUAAAAAGCUCGUAGUUGGAUCUGCGGUCAUUGACACCGGUCUCCUUCACGGAGUACUGGUUGUCAUGACCUACCUUGUUGGUUGUCCCUUGGUGCUCUUUACUGAGUGCCCUGGGUGGCUAGCACGUUUACUUUGAAAAAAUUAGAGUGCUUAACGCAGGCUUUUGCCUGAAUAGUGGUGCAUGGAAUAAUGGAAUAGGACCUCGGUUCUAUUUUGUUGGUUUUCGGAGCGCGAGGUAAUGAUUAAGAGGGACAGACGGGGGCAUUCGUACUGCUGCGUUAGAGGUGAAAUUCUUGGAUCGCAGCAUGACGAACAACUGCGAAAGCAUUUGCCAAGAAUGUUUUCAUUAAUCAAGAACGAUAGUUAGAGGUUCGAAGGCGAUCAGAUACCGCCCUAGUUCUAACCGUAAACGAUGCCAACUAGCAAUCCGCUGGCGUUAAUUCUGACUCAGCGGGCGGCUGCCCGGAAACGAUAAGUUUUUCGGUUCCGGGGGAAGUAUGGUUGCAAAUCCGAAACUUAAAGGAAUUGACGGAAGGGCACCACCAGGAGUGGAGCCUGCGGCUUAAUUUGACUCAACACGGGAAAACUCACCCGGCCCGGACACUGUAAGGAUUGACAGAUUGAAAGCUCUUUCACGAUUCAGUGGGUGGUGGUGCAUGGCCGUUCUUAGUUGGUGGAGCGAUUUGUCUGGUUAAUUCCGAUAACGAACGAGACUCUAGCCUACUAAAUAGUGCGAGGAUCUUUACGUCCUUGUCACUUCUUAGAGGGACAGACGGCGCCUAGCCGUACGAAAUUGAGCAAUAACAGGUCUGUGAUGCCC